GCCUUGCCAGUCAUAACCACAUCUCAAAAAUCAAAAUCAACCACAGGGCUCUUUAGAAUACUCGACAAGCCUAGCAUUUACACAAAAACCAACUCCCCUGUACACAACAAACUAUACAGAACUGAUGGAGACUAACGAAAUACUGUAAAUCAACCUCAACAAAAAGUGAACAUCAACAAAAUGAAAACCAAGAGGAACCAUCAUGCAAAAGCAGCAAUCCAAUCUUUCCAACAAUCUCAAGCCCAGGUCACACUACAAAUCAUAAAAAGCUUUCAUUAAAACAAACUGAAGCCAUCUUAUAGGAGCUGCAAAGACCAGUAACCAUAACAAGAAUAGCACCAGUUCAGCAAGCCCAGAAUGAAGGAAAUCACUCCCAUAGACAGCAGCUAGUCGUCAGGCAAUCAAGGCAUCCCAAUUCAUUCACAAAGAAAUGUGUAGCAUAUUAAGAAAACAUUCUUGGAAAAUAGAGUCAAAUCUAAAGAAAAUUUUAAGUAGGGAGAAAAUAGUUCUUUCCCUUUAAAGCCAAUUGAACAAGCAUGCAAUUAUUCAAUACCAAAUGCAUUUUCAAAAUUUUGAAAGGAUUACCUGACAGCAACCUUUAGUUAUUUCCAGAAAAUAUAAACUGAACCACAACAUGGCUUAAAAGUUAUUCUGAAAAUGAACCUUCUUUAAUUCUAAGAAAGAAUGUCUCACUUCAAGGACCCUGGGAUCACAAAGAGAGAAAGCCUCCUACAAGAAAGCAAUAAAGCACUUAAAUUAAUUAAUUCUCAAACUCAUAGAUAAAUAUUCUACUGUAUAACCUUAUUGUCAGCUUUGCUGACAAGAAAUGUUCAACAACAGCUAUUCCAACAAUCUGGAUGCAAGUAGAAAAAAAAAAUUGAAAAAAGUAGAGUGCUGAAGCAAAUGUGGGAGGACGCUAAUGACUAACCUCCCCCGUGGUGAGCACUUCCAGUGCAUCUUUAUGCAGUUAUUUCAUUGUUAGAUUCUUUGCAUCUGCAUGAAGCAUCAGACCAAUCAUCAUUGCCCUGUUUAAAGACAAUUCAAAUCUUACUCUACUUGUAAAAACGAGCCCAAAUACCUUAAAACCAGAGGAAAAUGAGCCCAAAGAGCUUAAAACCAUAGGAAUAAAUCUCAGUUCCUAAUUGCACUUAAAAAAAUUCUCUUUCACUUGGACAAACUUGCCAAGCAGGGUAAGUCCUUGCUUCAUCUGAAAAGUUCGAAGGAAAGAAAAGACAUUUUUGAAAGUAUUCCCCCUCUUCAAAUAUCAACACUGACAUUUGUGUAGUCAAGGCCAUAGGUUCUCCAAUUAGACGCUCGAUAUCAUCUAAAGUUAAGGUAAACAGCAAAGGACUAAUAUCUAUUCACGGGAACAUAUUAGCAUUUCACUAUAAUUCAAUCAUAGACUUCAGAAUACAUUACAACACUUUAAUUUUAAGACAUAAAAGAUUAUACCGAUUCUAUCAAAUAUAAGAACACAGUAAAAUCAAAAUAACUCGUGCAACCUUCGACACUGAAAACAAAAGAGCAAAAAAAAAACUUCCAUAUUUUUAUGUAC
Molecule: long non-coding RNA, 1555 nt
Filed under: Theobroma cacao (cacao)
Lineage: Eukaryota; Viridiplantae; Streptophyta; Magnoliopsida; Malvales; Malvaceae
Description: long non-coding RNA (TCAC_LNC005161)
Source: RNAcentral